UGGGGAAUAUUGCACAAUGGGCGCAAGCCUGAUGCAGCCAUGCCGCGUGUGUGAAGAAGGCCUUCGGGUUGUAAAGUACUUUCAGUCGGGAGGAAGGUGUCAAGGUUAAUAACCUUGGCAAUUGACGUUACCGACAGAAGAAGCACCGGCUAACUCCGUGCCAGCAGCCGCGGUAAUACGGAGGGUGCAAGCGUUAAUCGGAAUUACUGGGCGUAAAGCGCACGCAGGCGGUUUGUUAAGUCAGAUGUGAAAUCCCCGGGCUCAACCUGGGAACUGCAUUCGAAACUGGCAGGCUAGAGUCUUGUAGAGGGGGGUAGAAUUCCAGGUGUAGCGGUGAAAUGCGUAGAGAUCUGGAGGAAUACCGGUGGCGAAGGCGGCCCCCUGGACAAAGACUGACGCUCAGGUGCGAAAGCGUGGGGAGCAAACAGG
Molecule: ribosomal RNA, 429 nt
Filed under: Chloroflexota bacterium
Lineage: Bacteria; Bacillati; Chloroflexota
Description: Chloroflexi bacterium partial 16S ribosomal RNA
Rfam family: Bacterial small subunit ribosomal RNA
Source: RNAcentral